CCCUUAGAUGUUCUGGGCCGCACGCGCGCUACACUGAUACGUUCAACGAGCUCCUUGACCGAGAGGCCCGGGUAAUCUUUGAAACCGUAUCGUGAUGGGGAUAGAACAUUGCAAUUAUUGUUCUUCAACGAGGAAUGCCUAGUAAGCGCGAGUCAUCAUCUCGCGUUGAUUACGUCCCUGCCCUUUGUACACACCGCCCGUCGCUCCUACCGAUUGAACGUGCUGGUGAAGCGUUAGGACUGGAGGUCUUGGGCCGGUUCGCCUGCCCAUAGCUUCGGGAAUUUCGUUGAACCCUCCCGUUUAGAGGAAGGAGAAGUCGUANCA
RNAcentral lists this ribosomal RNA (324 nucleotides) under uncultured eukaryote. RNAcentral's name for it is "partial 18S ribosomal RNA". It matches the Rfam family "Eukaryotic small subunit ribosomal RNA", at positions 1470 to 1796 of the family's 1831-position model. The record is from RNAcentral.